GCACUGUGUUAUAACAUGACAUUAUCAUUCUUGAUUCAGCAAAUGAGCAGCUUUGGUUUUGAGCUGGUUGCAUUUGACUGAUAGCAACAACAAAAUUGUUUCAGAUCAAACCUAUGAAGAAAUCCAACCAUCAUCGUGGAAUUUCAUUAACAACAAUCAAGUGACGAAAGCUAAUGAAGGGCUCCCACAACAUUUUUUGUGAUAAGAAAUUCUCUGUGUUAUGAAAUCAUGCAAAUGUGGCCUGAAAUAUUAUGAAACCAAUGACAAAGACAUCUUGGAAUUUAUUGUCCUAUUUUAAACUGGCAAUCACGCUAAACCACUAUUUCAUCUUUUUUCCCUUCUCACGACACCACAGCUCAACCCCUUUUGAAACAGUGUUUCCAAUCCACUUAAAGCAGUAUAGACUAAAUGCUUAAAGUUUUUCCGCACAUACAAAUCUUUCUCGUCUGUUCUGUAGCACUGCUGUCUUACAAGAAAACUUUUUUGUGCUUGGGAACAUACUGAAAAAAAUUGAAUCCCACAAAGUUAAAAAAAAAAAGAGCCUAUAUAUUUUGUGAGGUGGCUGCAGCUAAAUUAUCAACUAUUCAAAAUACUUAACAAGCCAGUCAAGGCCAGCGGGAAUUCCAAAAGAUAAACGUGGCAUGCAGUGGCGUGUCUGAUCUACGAGGUGUGGUUUUGGUGGAUUUUCUCAUUGGAAAACAAGUGUGUGGUCUCCGGUCAGUGAUCCUGUUAAAUUCCAACAUCAAUAAAUGUCGACCAAUUCUUUGUCUUUCUGCUUUGGUGUUUGGUUCUGGAUCAUAUUGAAGGUGAGGCCCACCAGGUGCACUGUAACGCUUUUCUAAACUCUCCAGUCUGAGGUCAGGAGCUGAAGAUAAACACUGGGGUAAAGAAGGACACUUUGGCUAUAGAAAUGAG
This is a long non-coding RNA of Carassius gibelio (silver crucian carp), 915 nucleotides long. RefSeq lists it as uncharacterized. The record is from RefSeq and is a predicted model, not a curated record. NCBI's taxonomy places the organism in Eukaryota, Metazoa, Chordata, Actinopteri, Cypriniformes, Cyprinidae. The transcript is spliced from 3 exons.